UACAGAGGGUGCAAGCGUUAAUCGGAAUUACUGGGCGUAAAGCGUGCGUAGACGGUUGCGUAAGUCAGAUGUGAAAGCCCCGGGCUCAACCUGGGAAUUGCAUUUGAGACUGCGUAGCUAGGGUGCGGAAGAGGGAAGCGGAAUUUCCGGUGUAGCGGUGAAAUGCGUAGAUAUCGGAAGGAACACCAGUGGCGAAGGCGGGUCUCUGGUCUGUAACUGACACUGAGGCGCGAAAGCGUGGGGAGCGAACAGG
RNAcentral lists this ribosomal RNA (253 nucleotides) under uncultured bacterium. RNAcentral describes it as "partial 16S ribosomal RNA". It matches the Rfam family "Bacterial small subunit ribosomal RNA", at positions 524 to 776 of the family's 1533-position model. The record is from RNAcentral.